CCUACGGGAGGCAGCAGUGGGGAAUAUUGCGCAAUGGGCGAAAGCCUGACGCAGCGACGCCGCGUGAGGGAUGAAGGUCUUCGGAUCGUAAACCUCUGUCAGCAGGGAAGGACGGUCACUGUGCUAAUCAGCAGUGAAUUGACGGUACCUGCAAAGGAAGCACCGGCUAACUCCGUGCCAGCAGCCGCGGUAAUACGGAGGGUGCGAGCGUUAAUCGGAAUUACUGGGCGUAAAGCGCUCGUAGGCGGUAUGUCAAGUCAAGGGUGAAGUCCCCGCGCUCAACGUGGGAACUGCCUUUGAAACGGGCAAACUGGAGUGUGUGAGAGGAUAGUGGAAGUCCAGGUGUAGGAGUGAAAUCCGUAGAUAUCUGGAGGAACAUCAGUGGCGAAGGCGACUAUCUGGCACAUAACUGACGCUGAGGAGCGAAAGCGUGGGUAGCAAACAGGAUUAGAUACCCCAGUAGUC
This 465-nucleotide ribosomal RNA is filed under the name uncultured bacterium. RNAcentral describes it as "partial 16S ribosomal RNA". It matches the Rfam family "Bacterial small subunit ribosomal RNA", at positions 338 to 795 of the family's 1533-position model. The record is from RNAcentral.